GAUGAACGCUGGCGGCGUGCCUAAUACAUGCAAGUCGAGCGAACGGACGAGAAGCUUGCUUCUCUGAUGUUAGCGGCGGACGGGUGAGUAACACGUGGAUAACCUACCUAUAAGACUGGGAUAACUUCGGGAAACCGGAGCUAAUACCGGAUAAUAUUUUGAACCGCAUGGUUCAAAAGUGAAAGACGGUCUUGCUGUCACUUAUAGAUGGAUCCGCGCUGCAUUAGCUAGUUGGUAAGGUAACGGCUUACCAAGGCAACGAUGCAUAGCCGACCUGAGAGGGUGAUCGGCCACACUGGAACUGAGACACGGUCCAGACUCCUACGGGAGGCAGCAGUAGGGAAUCUUCCGCAAUGGGCGAAAGCCUGACGGAGUAACGCCGCGUGAGUGAUGAAGGUCUUCGGAUCGUAAAACUCUGUUAUUAGGGAAGAACAUAUGUGUAAGUAACUGUGCACAUCUUGACGGUACCUAAUCAGAAAGCCACGGCUAACUACGUG
Molecule: ribosomal RNA, 497 nt
Filed under: uncultured bacterium
Lineage: Bacteria
Description: partial 16S ribosomal RNA
Rfam family: Bacterial small subunit ribosomal RNA
Source: RNAcentral